GAUGAACGCUGGCGGCGUGCCUAAUACAUGCAAGUCGAGCGAACGGACGAGAAGCUUGCUUUUCUGAUGUUAGCGGCGGACGGGUGAGUAACACGUGGAUAACCUACCUAUAAGACUGGGAUAACUUCGGGAAACCGGAGCUAAUACCGGAUAAUAUUUUGAACCGCAUGGUUCAAAAGUGAAAGACGGUCUUGCUGUCACUUAUAGAUGGAUCCACGCUGCAUUAGCUAGUUGGUAAGGUAACGGCUUACCAAGGCAACGAUGCAUAGCCGACCUGAGAGGGUGAUCGGCGACACUGGAACUGAGACACGGUCCAGAGUCCUACGGGAGGCAGCAGUAGGGAAUCUUGCGCAAUGGGGGAAAGCCUGACGGAGCAACGCCGCGUGAGUGAAGAAGGUCUUCGGAGCGUAAAACUCUGUUAUUAGGGAAGAACAUAUGUGUAAGUAACUGUGCACAUCUUGACGGUACCUAAUCAGAAAGCCACGGCUAACUACGUG
This 497-nucleotide ribosomal RNA is filed under the name uncultured bacterium. RNAcentral describes it as "partial 16S ribosomal RNA". It matches the Rfam family "Bacterial small subunit ribosomal RNA", at positions 28 to 507 of the family's 1533-position model. The record is from RNAcentral.